ACUCAGAGAAAUAUGAGCUAAUACCGGAUAAUGUCUUCGGACCAAAGAUUUAUCGCCUUUAGAUGGGCCCGCGUUAGAUUAGAUAGUUGGUGGGGUAAUGGCCUACCAAGUCGACGAUCUAUAGCUGGUCUGAGAGGAUGAUCAGCCACACUGGGACUGAGACACGGCCCAGACUCCUACGGGAGGCAGCAGUGGGGAAUAUUGGACAAUGGGCGAAAGCCUGAUCCAGCAAUGCCGCGUGAGUGAUGAAGGCCUUAGGGUUGUAAAGCUCUUUUACUAGGGAUGAUAAUGACAGUACCUAGAGAAUAAGCUCCGGCUAACUCCGUGCCAGCAGCCGCGGUAAUACGGAGGGAGCUAGCGUUGUUCGGAAUUACUGGGCGUAAAGAGAACGUAGGCGGCUAUCCAAGUCAGGGGUGAAAUCCCGGGGCUCAACCCCGGAACUGCCCUUGAAACUAGGUAGCUAGAAUUCUGGAGAGGUUAGUGGAAUUCCGAGUGUAGAGGUGAAAUUCGUAGAUAUUCGGAAGAACACCAGUGGCGAAGGCGACUGACUGGACAGAUAUUGACGCUGAGGUUCGAAAGCGUGGGGAGCGAACAGGAUUAGAUACCCUGGUAGUCCACGCCGUAAACGAUGAUAACUAGCUGUUCGGGCUCAUAGAGCUUGAGUGGCGCAGCUAACGCAUUAAGUUAUCCGCCUGGGGAGUACGGUCGCAAGAUUAAAACUC
This 722-nucleotide ribosomal RNA is filed under the name uncultured bacterium. Its description in RNAcentral is "bacterial SSU rRNA". It matches the Rfam family "Bacterial small subunit ribosomal RNA", at positions 146 to 902 of the family's 1533-position model. The record is from RNAcentral.